Molecule: ribosomal RNA, 507 nt
Filed under: Triticum aestivum (bread wheat)
Lineage: Eukaryota; Viridiplantae; Streptophyta; Magnoliopsida; Poales; Poaceae
Description: partial small subunit ribosomal RNA
Source: RNAcentral
AUGAGACCACAGAGCGUUAGCGCAUUAGCUGCUACAACACUGGUGUUCCUCUCUUUGAUCUGCAACAUCCAGCUUUUGGUCUCCGUCACGGGCUUGUCCAGCUUUGCGAUGGAUAAUUCCCCAAGUAAGCCAGAGCUCGGUGCUGCUGGUGCGGCUGGUAAUCCAGAGGGUGUACUCCCUGAUGUGGCCAACGUUGAGGUCAACAGUGUGCCAGCGGUUGAUGAUCAACACCCAGACCCAGCAGACGUAUUGGCUUGGGCAUUAAGACAGGGUCAAAUUUAUGCGGACCCACUUAUGCAAAGGCUGGAAACUGUUGGAGCACUGCUCGACAUAGAAAUGCAGAUUGUUCCCCCAGUGCCCCACCAAGUGAUCUUGGCUGCACUGGACCAGCUUGCCAUGCUGCCUAUGCCUGCCGCCGAUCCUGCUCCUCCCGAAGCCUCACAAGAGAUUGAUAUAGACACCGAGGGGGUGGAAGGUGACGUGCCGCCACCCCCGGCAAGUCCCUGA